This 408-nucleotide ribosomal RNA is filed under the name uncultured bacterium. RNAcentral describes it as "partial 16S ribosomal RNA". It matches the Rfam family "Bacterial small subunit ribosomal RNA", at positions 28 to 526 of the family's 1533-position model. The record is from RNAcentral.
GACGAACGCUGGCGGCGUGCUUAACACAUGCAAGUCGAACGAAGUGGCGAACGGGUGAGUAACGCGUAAUCAACCUGCCCUUCAGAGGGGGACAACAGUUGGAAACGACUGCUAAUACCGCAUACUGAAGGAGGGGAUUGCGUCUGAUUAGCUAGUUGGGGGGGUAAUGGCCCACCAAGGCGAAGACCAGUAACCGGUCUUAGAGGAUGGACGACCACAUUGGGACUGAGACACGGGCCAGACUCCUACGGGAGGCAGCCGUGGGGGAUCUUCCGCAAUGGACGGAAGUCUGACGGGGCAACGCCGCGUGAGUGAUGACGGCCUUCGGGUUGUAAAGCUCUGUUAAUCGGGGCGCGGUACCGGAAUAGAAAGCCACGGCUAACUACGUGCCAGCAGCCGCGGUAAUAC